ACCCAAAAUUCCUUACAUUUAAUCCCUUAGGUGCAAACGUGUCCAAAUUAUAUGCCCAAAAUGCCUCUCUUUGCACCUAAGGGAUUAAAUGUAAGGGAUUUUGGGUAAUUUAU
Molecule: non-coding RNA, 113 nt
Organism: Paramuricea clavata
Lineage: Eukaryota; Metazoa; Cnidaria; Anthozoa; Malacalcyonacea; Plexauridae
Source: the annotation of a GenBank genome assembly